This 482-nucleotide ribosomal RNA is filed under the name uncultured bacterium. RNAcentral describes it as "partial 16S ribosomal RNA". It matches the Rfam family "Bacterial small subunit ribosomal RNA", at positions 30 to 507 of the family's 1533-position model. The record is from RNAcentral.
AUUGAACGCUGGCGGCAUGCUUUACACAUGCAAGUCGAACGGUAACAGGCCGCAAGGUGCUGACGAGUGGCGAACGGGUGAGUAAUGCAUCGGAACGUGCCCAGUCGUGGGGGAUAACUACUCGAAAGAGUAGCUAAUACCGCAUACGAUCUAUGGAUGAAAGCGGGGGACCGUAAGGCCUCGCGCGAUUGGAGCGGCCGAUGUCAGAUUAGGUAGUUGGUGGGGUAAAGGCUUACCAAGCCAACGAUCUGUAGCUGGUCUGAGAGGACAACCAGCCACACUGGGACUGAGACACGGCCCAGACUCCUACGGGAGGCAGCAGUGGGGAAUUUUGGACAAUGGGCGCAAGCCUGAUCCAGCAAUGCCGCGUGCAGGAAGAAGGCCUUCGGGUUGUAAACUGCUUUUGUACGGAACGAAACGGCUCUGGUUAAUACCCGGGGCUAAUGACGGUACCGUAAGAAUAAGCACCGGCUAACUACGUG